This 416-nucleotide ribosomal RNA is filed under the name uncultured bacterium. RNAcentral describes it as "bacterial SSU rRNA". It matches the Rfam family "Bacterial small subunit ribosomal RNA", at positions 107 to 518 of the family's 1533-position model. The record is from RNAcentral.
UGAGUAACGCGUAUGCAACCUACCUAUCGAGAGGGGAAUAACCCGGCGAAAGUCGGACUAAUACCGCAGUAAAACAGGGGCACCGCAUGGUGAUAUUUGUUAAAGAAAUUCGCUGAUAGAUGGGCAUGCGUUCCAUUAGGUAGUUGGUGAGGUAACGGCUCACCAAGCCGACGAUGGAUAGGGAACUGAGAGGUUGGUCCCCCACACUGGUACUGAGACACGGACCAGACUCCUACGGGAGGCAGCAGUGAGGAAUAUUGGUCAAUGGGCGGGAGCCUGAACCAGCCAAGUCGCGUUGAAGGAAGAAGGAUCUAUGGUUCGUAAACUUCUUUUGCGAGGGGAAUAAAGUGCAGGACGUGUCCUGUUUUGUAUGUACCCUGAGAAUAAGGAUCGGCUAACUCCGUGCCAGCCGCAGC